GGAUGUGAGGGAGAUCUGGCUGUGACAUUUCUCACCCUAAUGACUGCCCGUUGGUUUGGCUGAUCUGGCUGGCUGGGCAGGUGUCCCCUUUCUCCCUCACAGCUCCAUGUGUGUCCCUCCUGAAGCUUCGUGCUUGGGGGAGGAAGACGACCACCCCUUUUAGAAGAGGACUGUCUCUUUGGUCAGGGGUAUGCUAGUACUUGUGCUCCUCUCUGGAACCUCCAAAUGAGCUGUCAAGGAAUUGGCUCCUGCAGUUAUGGAGGCUAAGUUCCUUGAUUUGCAGGCUGAAAGCUUAAACCCAGG
Molecule: non-coding RNA, 303 nt
Organism: Heterocephalus glaber (naked mole-rat)
Lineage: Eukaryota; Metazoa; Chordata; Mammalia; Rodentia; Bathyergidae
Source: Rfam